GAUUCCCCUAGUAACUGCGAGUGAAGCGGGAAAAGCUCAAAUUUAAAAUCUGGCGGUCUUUGGCCGUCCGAGUUGUAGUCUGGAGAAGCGUCUUCCGCGUUGGACCGUGUACAAGUCUCUUGGAACAGAGCGUCAUAGAGGGUGAGAAUCCCGUCUUUGACACGGACUACCAAUGCUUUGUGAUGCGCUCUCAAAGAGUCGCGUUGUUUGGGAAUGCAGCGCAAAAUGGGAGGUGAAUUCCUUCUAAAGCUAAAUAUUGGCGAGAGACCGAUAGCGAACAAGUACCGUGAGGGAAAGAUGAAAAGCACUUUGGAAAGAGAGUUAAACAGUACGUGAAAUUGCUAAAAGGGAAACGCUUGAAGUCAGUCGCGUCGUCCGGAACUCAGCUUUGCUUCGGCUUAGUGCACUUUCCGGUUGACGGGCCAGCAUCGAUUUUGACCGCUGGAAAAGGGCUGGAGGAAUGUGGCACCUUCGGGUGUGUUAUAGCCUUCAGUCGCAUACAGCGGUUGGGAUCGAGGAACGCAGCACGCCUUAUGGCUGGGGUUCGCCCACAUUNNNNNGCUUAGGAUGCUGGCAUAAUGGCUUAAACGC
This 591-nucleotide ribosomal RNA is filed under the name Trametes ochracea. Its description in RNAcentral is "eukaryotic LSU rRNA". It matches the Rfam family "Eukaryotic large subunit ribosomal RNA", at positions 73 to 647 of the family's 3401-position model. Lineage: Eukaryota; Fungi; Basidiomycota; Agaricomycetes; Polyporales; Polyporaceae. The record is from RNAcentral.